This 468-nucleotide ribosomal RNA is filed under the name uncultured bacterium. RNAcentral describes it as "partial 16S ribosomal RNA". It matches the Rfam family "Bacterial small subunit ribosomal RNA", at positions 28 to 507 of the family's 1533-position model. The record is from RNAcentral.
GACGAACGCUGGCGGCGUGCUUAACACAUGCAAGUCGAACGGAAAGGCCCUGCUUUUGUGGGGUGCUCGAGUGACGAACGGGUGAGUAACACGUGAGUAACCUGCCCUUGACUUUGGGAUAACUUCAUGAAACUGGGGCUAAUACCGGAUAGGAGCUCCUGCUGCUUGGUGGGGGUGGGAAUGUUUCGGCGGUUGGGGAUGGACUCGCGGCUUAUCAGCUUGGUGGUGGGGUAGUGGAUUACCAAGGCUUGGACGCGUAGCCGGGCUGCGAGGGUAAGCGGCCACACUGGGACGGAGCUGAGGCCCGGACUACAACGCGACGGAGCGCAGGAGAAUAGUGCAUAGUGGGAGGAGGGAAGGUGUAGCGCCGCCGUGUGGGGGAUAAGAGGAUGCGGGUAGUAUAGUAAUUUUGUCUGUGCGGAGACGAGAGUGACGGUAAUGGGUGAAGAAGCACCGGCUAACUACGUG